UUCUUAAUGCAACCACCAGUCUGUGACAAGUCAGAGAACUCGUUUGAAGUACGUGAAUGCAGAGUCAAGA
Molecule: non-coding RNA, 70 nt
Filed under: unclassified sequences
Source: RNAcentral